RNAcentral lists this long non-coding RNA (332 nucleotides) under Homo sapiens (human). RNAcentral describes it as "HSALNT0312980". The stretch from base 60 to 176 matches the Rfam family "Bacterial large subunit ribosomal RNA", at positions 714 to 852 of the family's 2925-position model. The record is from RNAcentral. Lineage: Eukaryota; Metazoa; Chordata; Mammalia; Primates; Hominidae.
ACCUUUUGCAUAAUGAAUUAACUAGAAAUAACUUUGCAAAGAGAACCAAAGCUAAGGCCCCCGAAACCAGACGAGCUACCUAAGAACAGCUAAAAGAGCACACCCGUCUAUGUAGCAAAAUAGUGGGAAGAUUUAUAGGUAGAGGCGACAAACCUAUCGAGCCUGGUGAUAGCUGGUUGUCCAAGAUAGAAUCUUAGUUCAACUUUAAAUUUACCUACAGAACCUUCUAAAUCCCCUUGUAAAUUUAACUGUUAGUCCAAAGAGGAACAGCUCUUUGGACACUAGGAAAAAACCUUGUAAAGAGACAAAAAAAAAAAAAAAAAAAAAAAGAA